ACUCCUACGGGAGGCAGCAGUGGGGAAUAUUGCACAAUGGGCGAAAGCCUGAUGCAGCAACGCCGCGUGAGGGACGAAGGCCUUCGGGUUGUAAACCUCUUUUAGUAGGGAAGAAGCGAAAGUGACGGUACCUGCAGAAAAAGCACCGGCUAACUACGUGCCAGCAGCCGCGGUAAUACGUAGGGUGCAAGCGUUGUCCGGAAUUAUUGGGCGUAAAGAGCUCGUAGGCGGUUUGUCGCGUCUGCUGUGAAAACCCGAGGCUCAACCUCGGGCCUGCAGUGGGUACGGGCAGACUAGAGUGCGGUAGGGGAGAUUGGAAUUCCUGGUGUAGCGGUGGAAUGCGCAGAUAUCAGGAGGAACACCAAUGGCGAAGGCAGAUCUCUGGGCCGUAACUGACGCUGAGGAGC
This 407-nucleotide ribosomal RNA is filed under the name uncultured bacterium. RNAcentral's name for it is "bacterial SSU rRNA". It matches the Rfam family "Bacterial small subunit ribosomal RNA", at positions 335 to 754 of the family's 1533-position model. The record is from RNAcentral.